AUUAUCUUUCUUUUUUUGCUUAUUAUUUAACUUCUUUUUUAAGCGCCUUUUGUCUUGAUUAGACCAUGAAGUCAAAUAACUUUGAAAAGUUUGCACUUUGCUUACAUUAGAAUCUGAAUAUUCUGGUUGCUUGGCAACGUUUGCAGGAUUGGGUGGGUCAAACAUGGCCUACUCAAUUUAUGUGUUUAACUCGGAGGAUUAAGAUGUUCAGAUUUUCUUUAUCUUUUUUUUCUAAUUUGAGAGAGAAGGUGGAAUGUUACAUCAGGUCUAGCUGAUUCUGUUGGUUUGCCAUGUUGAAUAGCCCAAGGAUGCAAGUACUGCACAUUGCCGAUCUUCAGGAGACGCUGCCACCAAUCUUCAGGAAACCUUCGUCGAUUCUCAAGCGAAGAACGGACGCCCUCAUCAUCCCAAACCGCCGAUCUUUAGGAAACCAUGUGAUCUGUCAUGAAUGGUGGGAUCUCGUUAGGGUUCCCAAGUUCUGUUCAGAGCAAUGGUGGUGUUUGUUUUCUCAACGUUGUAUGUUAUUUGGUGUUUGGUUUUUCUUAUGCGACUAUGUUGAUUGAGACUCAAGGUUUAAUUGGAACUGGUUUGGAAUUUAGUUGUUAGUUAA
Asparagus officinalis (garden asparagus) is the source of this 610-nucleotide long non-coding RNA. RefSeq lists it as uncharacterized. The transcript is spliced from 2 exons. The record is from RefSeq and is a predicted model, not a curated record. NCBI's taxonomy places the organism in Eukaryota, Viridiplantae, Streptophyta, Magnoliopsida, Asparagales, Asparagaceae.